UUGAUUUUCCAAGGACUUGCUGGGGGUGUUACCAAGUUUCUGCCUUAGGCAAAUCCGCAUAUAUUUGCAUACAUAUAUACACGCACCCUAACCUGCAAAGGGACGCCUAGCUCUUGCCACCUAUGAAAAGACUAAUCCUUCUAUUCUCUCCAGGAUGUGCUGAAUCAAAACUUAACUGCUAAUGUUCUAGAAAUCUUAGGGGGAAAAACACAAAACGAACAUGCCAUUUAAAUUUUAAGUUUAAAAAUGUCAUUUUUGGUUUACAUUUUUUAAACUAGAAAAGAGCCUAUCUUGAAGACUUUCCAGGGUGGGAGAAAGGGAUAUAGGCAAAGAUAAACUCAAUCCUGAACCUUCCGUUGAAAAGGAGACUGGAUCUACUGUUUCCUUCUUUCUCUGUGUGCCGUGCAGUAGCUCAACCCCGUCCUAACAAGAGGGCUAACACGGCUUGGAGAAAUUGGGUCUCUUCUUUUUCCAGAAUCAUCACACGUUUUCCGAAGGAAAAAUGGACUCUCACUUUCGAAAACACAAAACCACGUUUGCUUUACGUGCCGUAGAAAAGAACUCUGCGCGCCACGCGGAGAGCAGGCUGGGCGCCGGGAGCCGGCGAGCCGAGCGCCGCGGCGUGUUGUGUAACCGGCCCGGGAAUCACGUUGCACUGCCGAGUUCCACGGGCUCUUAGUGCAAUAAUAAGCUUGAUCUUUUUAUUCAAAUACAAGGAGCAACCACAGCCGGCUCCAGGUCACGUGUCCUGAUCACAUGGUGCUCAGACGCCGAAACCGGCUGGCGAUCAUUAACUAGUGCUUACUCCCAGGGAGAGAAUGCAGGUUUUAAAGAGACGAACUCUUAUUUUUAUAAAACAGCCAGGACUGCAAUAGAAGGUGUGUUUUGUUUCGCAUUAUACGAAGAAUACUUUCCAAAAACACUGUGCAAAAUGGCCUCAGCCUUACAGGAAAAACCACCCGUGAUGGUCUGCAGCCUUAUAUCCUAUUUCAUUGAACUGUUUUCGGAAACAAUAAAUAUGUAAAGAAUUUCCAGUGUUCUACGUUCACUGUAUCACUGAAAUAUAUGUAUUUCAGGAAAUUUCCCUAGUUAGGGAGUUUGCUUGUCUCUGUUCUUUCCCCUGCUCUGCCUCUUCAAAACGAUGACAGUCUGUGACCUAAAGGAUGGAUCCAGAUCUUUUGAAGAGAAUGUAAAAUUUAUAUAUACAAAAUUUGAUAUUAAAGUAUCACAAAAUUCAGAAAAAAUACUUAUUAUUUAACACACCUCUAAAAUCCUUUUUAUCCUGCAUUUUGGAAGGCGUGUUCUUGGAGGGGCUCAUAUUCUUGAAAGGAGAGAACUUUAAUCUUGACCAGCUGUCAAUUUUAAGUGUGCCUACCAUUGUACAAAUUUAAUGAUUAGAAAAAUUUUCCCCGGACCAGCUUCUGACUAGUCUGUUCUGGCUUUGUCUGUUCCACAUCUUGUCUCUCCUCCCCCAGCCCACAGUAUCUCUGGGGCUGACGCUGCAGGACACACUCGUGUUGUAAUGUGACCUCUGGAUCUGAGCCUACACAUCUCCGUGCUGGGAUCCCCGAGGGCGGCUCAUGGCGUCAGCUCAGGAGGACAGUUGGAGAACCACUGACUGAAAUGAUGACAUUUCUUGCUUCUUUAACUGUCCAGCAGCAGCUGUGUUUAUAUUCCUGACCCGAGUCAUGGUUUUCCUUCAGGAACCGUCUGUACCUGGAAGUGCUGAGGCCUGCAAGCAGUGCGUUCAACUUCACAGUGUACCUAGAGACAGGGCCUUUGUGUGGUUUUGGAAUUGCUCUCCAUGCAUUCCCCAAGUCGUGAGCCUCCAGGUCCACUCCACCAGUUGACCUACUUUUUCAGCUGAAAGACAAUGGCCUGGCUUCCUAAAGUCCUAUGUCUAUAGAUUCCAGCCAGGUGGGACCCAAGGUGCCUAUUGAGUUAAUUUCAAAGGUGUAAUGUGUAAUGGAAGAAGGACGGGACGUGGAAUAUGGAGUUUGGAGUCAGAAGACAGGUUCAAGGCAAACUAAUCUAUGGUGUAGAAGUCAGACAGUGGUUAGGAGUUUACUGGAAAAGGGCACGAGGGGACUUUCUGGGUGAUGGAAAUGUUCCAUAUCCUUUCCUGGUGGUAGUUACACAAGUGUAUACAUUUGUCAAAUUCAUCAAACGACACUGAAGAUCUGUGUGUUUUUUACUGAAUGUAAAUUAUACAGCAGUUUUAAAAAGGGCAGGUUCAAGUCCUGGCCCUCUCUGCUACAUACUGUACAGACCACUUCUUCAUCCCUUGGCCUUGUUUUCCCACCUACAAAAUGGAAGGACCACUUGUACCUGUGCUGUGGGGGAUCGCGUACAUUAAUGAGACCGCGUGAGUCAGAAUGCUCUGCAAAUGAUAAGCAGCCCAUCCAUGGUGACUCCCAUUGUUAUGCUUUCCAGCCAGCUGCCCUCGAGAGCAGAUUACCGAGCUGGUACAAAUCUGUGGGCUCUGCUUUGCAACUUCCUUGGAGAUUAGUGUUUAUCUGUCUAUUUUAAGGAGACUCUGGAGAUAUCAAAAUGCUGCAGAAAAGCAAAUGGAAUAUGGAUUUGCCAGGGAGAGGAGAGCAGGCUGGAAAGGAACAGCUGGGGAGAGAGCCAUCAAUCCAGCACGGCAGCAGGGCCAGACGGACGCCGAGAGGGAGCCGCUAAAUGCCUGUGAGAGUCGUGACCAGUGAAAGCAGCGUGAGUUAAAAAAAAUCACAUCUUGCCAAACAAACUGGGUCACAUUGGUGAUGGAGUUAGUCACUGAGCAGAGACGGGAAAGCAUUUUCAGGGGAAAAAGCAGAAGGUGUGGAGCCGGUGGUGACUCAGCUGGAAGUGGCAAAGGCCUCUUGGGCCUCCUGGCCUGGUUUGGUAGGUAAGUGAAAGAUUCUCCACGUGGCUCCCGCUGGGCAUCUUGUGGUAUUUCGGUUUUGAACUUGAUCUUUACUCCUAAAGGCACUCACAAACAACCUUUACAUUGGAAUCAAGAGCACAGCACAAAUUUUAAAAUGGAAAAUCGUAGAGAGAAGCCAAGUUAAGCUGAGACAGGGAGAGUGGGAAGGCCAUUCUGGAGUUCGCCCUCGGAAUUCAAGUGGGAGGUGAUGUCUGUCUGAAGGCACCCCAGCUCCUGAGGGGCGGCGCCGGCCAAGUCUUUGAAUGCAGACACUUUAAAAUCAAGGCAGACAGCAAAUGCCCUUUGGCCACAAGAUCCUAUAAGAUGAAUGAACGACGCUGAAAUCAAAUUUUCAAUUCUUAGUCACUAAAAUAAAGCUAGAAUAGGGAAAGAUUCAACAGGAAGAAAUAAUCUACAAGAGAAAUCUGAUGUGUGAAAUUUUGAUUUUAUCCUCAUUAUAAAAAUUUUGGUGCUUUCUGCUAGAUAUUUCUGCCAAGAAAUGUGAUAUGUUGAAAAAGAAGAGGAAAUAUACUCUGGAGGCUGUGACUAUAAAAGGCUGUUUAAAGUGAUCGGAAUCAGUCGAGGUUCUCCCAGCAACCGUGGUUAUAAAAUUAGGAUCUUAAACUACCAAAUCUGGGUGAGAAAAAAAAACUUCAGUAAAAGCGACAUCUAAAUUUAUGUUAUAUAACUUACAUUUCCCCACAGUGUUUGUCUUUUCUCUGGGCACGUCAGACCUUUUAUGUCGUUAAUUUCCGACCCUAAGAGCCAUUCCUAUUGGAGCAAGGCAGCGAGAUGGGGUGAGGGGGCACCGUGAGAAAGCAGGGGUGUCUUUCCUGUGACCUCUGAAUUGGAAAGAGGGCGCCACGGUGAGAUGCCGACAUGUGCACGUGGGGUGUGUCAGUGUGUUGAUGCCCGUGCUCAGGAUGCUGAACAAAACCUGGGUGGGAGGAGCUUUCCCCACCCAGGCCUUUGUCUCACUGGAAAUCUGAUGCCUUAAACCUCCGCCUCAACCCUCAGUGACUCCAGUCUGUAGCUGUACUGCUCUGUUAGUCAGCCCGCACAGCAUCUGAGACUUGGCCUUUUGCAGCCUGGUGCUAGCUCCAUAGGCUUCUUCGCCCCCCUUUGUCGAGGUCUUCAGCAACAGUUGAAGCUACAACUUCUGCUCCAAGUGACUCGGGGCUGUGAAUCGUCAGAGAAUCCAUUAUUUCUCCCUGGUUUUGGAGCUGACAGACAUGGGUGUGAAGCUCAGGUCCGUCGCUUAUUGGCCAAUUAGGAAAACUCUGUGAACACUGAUUUUCUUGCCUUGAAGGAUGGCACAGAGCUGAUACGCAUGAGCUAUAAUUAGCUGCUUAACAUUUUUGCCAGUGACUUGAAUGGACCUUGAUGGUGAGAUUGCCAAGUCAGCAGGCAACCAGAAACAAACAACAGACUCAAGGUCUCAAAGACUGUGUUUUUGUCCCAAAUCAACUUUCCAAGUACAGAACUGGGGGACAUGUGAUUUAAUGGCAGCACCUGUGUGAUCCUGUGAUAUAAUAAGAAAUAUGUAUUUUGUCUUCAUCCCUCGUUCCUGGUACCAGAUCUUCUAAAACCCUUGGAAUUUCCUGAGUGACAGGGGUGACAGGAGCAUCUUUGUUAUUUAUAAUAAGCCCCUUUCAACCAUACUUGAGUUUAUGCUAAUGAAGUGACCCUUGUGGUGGUGGUGGUGGGGGGGUCCCUUGAGAGCUUCAGGAUGGGAGCUCAUCGCCUAUGUGAUUAGAGGGUUGGAACUUUCAGCCCCACCCCCGACCUCCAGGAAGGGGAGAGGGACCAGAGAUUGAGCUAAUCACCAAAGGCCAGUGAUUUAAUCAAUCAUACUUAUGUAAUGAAACCUCCCUAAAACCCCCUAAACCCUGGGGUUUGGAGAGCUCCUGGGUUGGUGAACACACUGAGGUCCUGGGAGGGUGACUGCCCAUGGAGGGCAUGGAAGCUCCCCCAUCCCCCUCCCCUAAUACCUUGUCCCAUGUAUCUCUUCCAUUUGUUCAUUCGUAUCUUUUAUAAUAUCCUUCACAAUAAACUAGUAGUAGUGAGUAACGUGUUCGCCUGAGUUCUGUGAGUUGUUAUAGGAAAUUAUUGAACCUGUGAUAGCCAGCUGGUCAGAAGUACAGGAGGCUCUGGGACUUGUGUGUGGCAUCUGAAGUGGGAGCAGUUUUGUAGGAUUGAGCCCUAACCUGUGGGAUCUGUGCUAACUCUGGAGGGUUGGUGUCAGAACUGAGUUAAAUUGUGGAACACCUAGUCGGUGUCCAGAGAUUUGGAGAAUUUGUUGGUGUGGGGAAAAACUCCCACUCAUUUGGUGUCAGAAGUGUUGUGAAUAGAAGAAGAUCAUAACCUGUGAAAUAGAUUUAGGAGUCUGGCCCACAGUGAGCCCCUGUAGGGACAGAGCCAGGACAAGGUAAUCUGAUUGUGUCAGAGUUCUUUAGUUGCAAGCAAUUGAGACAGACUCUGACAAACUUAUUUGGAAAAGAACUUUGCUAGAAAGCUAUGGAAUAGUUGUUGGAUGCUGAAGGGCCAACCCUCAAGAAUAAGAGGAAGGGGACAUUAGCAGGAUUGAAUGGACAGACUUUGUGUGUCCCCCACCCCAUCAGAAUGUCUCUGCUCCACUGUUUUUUGUUAUAUCAUUCUCCCCAAAGCUCAAAGGCCUAAGAACCAGAGUCGGAACGGCCUAAAUUGGUUUCUGUGUGCUACCAUCCCAGUAGGAGGGGGCAGGGAGAAUCUUGACUGAAGGGCCCUCAAGACUUCUCAGACUAAGGGAAGAGUAAUUCCCCAAUGGGAAAUCAGGGUGCUUUCACCCAAAACAGUGGAAAGGCAUGUUCGAUAGGCCAAAGCAAGAGAUCUCCCCUGUUAAAAGAAAGGAGCACGAAAACAAUUCCAUCUUACCCUUCCCUGGUCGGAUCAGGUCCAGUUCUGGGCGGCACACUUUCAGAGGCCUUUGCUUGGGAAGGUGUGAAAAAGGGCAACUAAGAUGGUCAACAUCUGGAAAACAUGACACAUAAGAAAUGGUUGAAACAGAAUUGAGGAGAUCGGACCCAAAAAAGAGAAGACUGAGGGGGCAUCGAAUGGCUGUCCUCAGAUAUCUGAAGCUCUGGUACAUAGAAGAAUAGUCAAUUUGGUGGCUCUAAAAGGAAGAACUAAAACCAAUAAACAGACUUGAAAGGGGGAGAGAUUUCAGUUCAGUAUUUAUAGGAAAGAUCUUUCAAGAAAUCAACUGCUGGAAAUUAAAUGAGCUGGCAUAAGGUAGGGAACUUUCCAUCCCUGGGAAGCCUCAGUUCUUUAAUUAGCAAGAGCAAUAAGCACACUCCUCACUUUGGAUUACAGCACACCGUGUUGUGGCCCUGCGGCUGAGGACCCUGACCUAACAGCUCUCAAUGAAACAGCACUCCCUGUUUGGCCACAUCUGCCGAAGAGCGCUUUCCCGUGUGUGAAGCUCCAGAUGUGCACAAUGUAACAAAAACAAAAAUAGACAAAUGGGACUAUAUCAAACAAAGUCUUCUGUGCAUUAAAGGAAACCAUGAGCAGACUGAAAAGCCAACCUAUGGAAUAGGACAAAGUCUUGCAAAUCAUAUAUCCCGAACGUAUAAGGAACUUCUACAAAUCAACAACAAAAACAAAUAACUUGAUUAGAAAGUGGGCAAAGGACACAAAUAGACAAUUCUCCAAAGAAGAUAUACAAAUGGCCAGUAAGCAUGUGAAAAGAUGUUCAACAUCUUUAUAGCAAUGCAAAUCAAAACCGCAAAGAGCUAUCACCUCACACCCAGGAGGGUGGUCACUAUCAAAAGAACAGAAAAUAGCAAGUGUUGGCGAGGAUGGGGAGAAGUUGGAGCGCUGGUGCACUGUUGGUAGGUGCAACCCAAUGUAAAAUGGUGCAGCCAUUAUGGAAGACAAUAUAGAUUCCCUCAAAAGUUUAAAAAUAAAAUUACCAUAUGAUACAGCAAUCCCACUUCUGGGUAUAUAUCCAAAAGAAUUCAAAUCAGGAUCUUGAAGAGAUAGUUGCACAUCCAUGUUCAC
Molecule: long non-coding RNA, 6949 nt
Filed under: Equus caballus (horse)
Lineage: Eukaryota; Metazoa; Chordata; Mammalia; Perissodactyla; Equidae
Description: lncRNA (ENSECAG00000045840.1)
Source: RNAcentral